AUGUGGCAAAUGUUUAGGAAUAGGCUGCCUACCUCGGACAACGUUGCCAAACGUAACGGCCCGGCCGAUGGUUCUUGCGCAAUGUGCGGUGUAGGUGAAGACGCUAACCACGUGUUCUUUAGAUGCCACCUGGCCAAGUUCGCGUGGAGUGCGGUUAGGGACGCACUCCACUCGAAUUGGAACCCCGCUUCGGGCGCUGACUUGCUCAUGAUAAUCAAAACACAAAAAGGGACCAGCGGUAGAAUCGCUUGGCGAUGCGUAAGGGCGCUGCUGUGGGCUCUAUGGACGACGCGGAAUAAAAUUACGAUUUAG
RNAcentral lists this ribosomal RNA (312 nucleotides) under Triticum aestivum (bread wheat). Its description in RNAcentral is "partial small subunit ribosomal RNA". Lineage: Eukaryota; Viridiplantae; Streptophyta; Magnoliopsida; Poales; Poaceae. The record is from RNAcentral.